UACGUAGGGGGCAAGCGUUGUCCGGAAUCAUUGGGCGUAAAGCGCGCGUAGGCGGCCCGGUAAGUCCGCUGUAAAAGUCCAGGGCUCAACCCUGGAAAGCCGGUGGAUACUGUCGGGCUAGAGUCCGGAAGAGGCGAGUGGAAUUCCUGGUGUAGCGGUGGAAUGCGCAGAUAUCAGGAGGAACACCGAUUGCGAAGGCAGCUCGCUGGGACGUAACUGACGCUGAGACGCGAAAGCGUGGGGAGCAAACAGG
This 253-nucleotide ribosomal RNA is filed under the name uncultured bacterium. RNAcentral describes it as "partial 16S ribosomal RNA". It matches the Rfam family "Bacterial small subunit ribosomal RNA", at positions 524 to 776 of the family's 1533-position model. The record is from RNAcentral.